GAUGAAGAACGUAGCGAAAUGCGAUACUUGGUGUGAAUUGCAGAAUCCCGUGAACCAUCGAGUUUUUGAACGCAAGUUGCGCCCGAAGCCUUUUGGCCGAGGGCACGUCUGCCUGGGCGUCACGCAUCGCGUCGCCCCCCCACAAUUCUCCGUAAAGGGAACAUGUGUUUUGGGGGCGGAUAUUGGUCUCCCGUGCUCAUGGCGUGGUUGGCCGAAAUAGGAGUCCUUUCGAUGGACGCACGAACUAGUGGUGGUCGUAAAAACCCUCGUCUUUUGUUUCGUGCUGUUGCUUGCAAGGUAAACUCUUUAAAAACCCCAAUGCGUCGUCUCUUGACGACGCUUCGACCGCGACCCCAGGUCAGGCGGGACUACCCGCUGAGUUUAAGCAUAUCAAUAAGCGGAGGA
Molecule: unclassified non-coding RNA, 405 nt
Filed under: soil metagenome
Description: partial contains 5.8S ribosomal RNA, internal transcribed spacer 2, and large subunit ribosomal RNA
Rfam family: 5.8S ribosomal RNA (bases 1-122)
Source: RNAcentral